GAGUUUGAUCGUGGCUCAGAUUGAACGCUGGCGGCAUGCCUUACACAUGCAAGUCGAACGGUAACAGGUCUUCGGAUGCUGACGAGUGGCGAACGGGUGAGUAAUACAUCGGAACGUGCCCGAUCGUGGGGGAUAACGAAGCGAAAGCUUUGCUAAUACCGCAUAAGAUCUACGGAUGAAAGCAGGGGACCGCAAGGCCUUGCGCGAACGGAGCGGCCGAUGGCAGAUUAGGUAGUUGGUGGGAUAAAAGCUUACCAAGCCGACGAUCUGUAGCUGGUCUGAGAGGACGACCAGCCACACUGGGACUGAGACACGGCCCAGACUCCUACGGGAGGCAGCAGUGGGGAAUUUUGGACAAUGGGCGAAAGGCCUGAUCCAGCCAUGCCGCGUGCAGGAUGAAGGCC
This 404-nucleotide ribosomal RNA is filed under the name uncultured microorganism. Its description in RNAcentral is "bacterial SSU rRNA". It matches the Rfam family "Bacterial small subunit ribosomal RNA", at positions 9 to 416 of the family's 1533-position model. The record is from RNAcentral.